GCCCCGGUGGUGAAAUUGGUAAACACAGCGGAUUUAAAAUCCGCCGCCGUAUGGCUUGCCGGUUCGAGUCCGGCUCGGGGCACCA
This 85-nucleotide transfer RNA is filed under the name Corallincola sp. RNAcentral describes it as "tRNA-Leu". It matches the Rfam family "tRNA". Rfam says of the family: Transfer RNA (tRNA) molecules are approximately 80 nucleotides in length. Their secondary structure includes four short double-helical elements and three loops (D, anti-codon, and T loops). Further hydrogen bonds mediate the characteristic L-shaped molecular structure. tRNAs have two regions of fundamental functional importance: the anti-codon, which is responsible for specific mRNA codon recognition, and the 3' end, to which the tRNAs corresponding amino acid is attached (by aminoacyl-tRNA synthetases). tRNAs cope with the degeneracy of the genetic code in two manners: having more than one tRNA (with a specific anti-codon) for a particular amino acid; and 'wobble' base-pairing, i.e. permitting non-standard base-pairing at the 3rd anti-codon position. Lineage: Bacteria; Pseudomonadati; Pseudomonadota; Gammaproteobacteria; Alteromonadales; Psychromonadaceae. The record is from RNAcentral.